Molecule: non-coding RNA, 79 nt
Organism: Rachicladosporium monterosium
Lineage: Eukaryota; Fungi; Ascomycota; Dothideomycetes; Cladosporiales; Cladosporiaceae
Source: the annotation of a GenBank genome assembly
GGGCGAAUGGUCUCAACGGUAAGAUACUUGGUUAGCCUGGUAAACCCAAGUGAUGUUGGUUCGACUCCGACUUCGUCCA